Molecule: long non-coding RNA, 1440 nt
Organism: Papaver somniferum (opium poppy)
Lineage: Eukaryota; Viridiplantae; Streptophyta; Magnoliopsida; Ranunculales; Papaveraceae
Exons: 3
Source: RefSeq, a predicted model, not a curated record
CUUAUCUUCACCGGUCGAGAAGAUAAGUCUUCUUUCCUUUCAUUCUUCUUUCUUAUUCUAUUUUCUUCUUCUUCUUCUUCUUCUUCUUCUUCUUCUUUCUUCUUCUAUGUUUCCCUUCUUCUUCUCUCUGUCGACGUUCUUAUCGAAGAAUUGAGCAUGCUUUGAUAUGAGUGAUUCGUAGAAGUUUGUUAACUUGUUGAAUCAAAGGGGUAAGUGAUGAAUUGUGGUUGAUUAAACCGGGAGAAGAGAAUUGAUGUUACUUUGUAAGUUGAAUUUAGGGUUUCUUUGUGGAAGAAGUAGAUGAAUCAGAGAAAAUAGGAGAUGGGUUUGAUCGAUUGAAGGCUGCGGUGAACUCAAAUAAAGAGAAAGAUGUUUUGUUAGGUGAUUCUGUGAGAAUUAGGGUUUGUAAAGCAAAGUCAGGGAAUAUGAAAUUCAGAAGAAGGAUUAAAAGGUGAAAUUGGGAGUUUAAGGGUAGUAUUAGAGAUGGGUAUGAUUAAAUAUGAGAGGUUAGAGUUGUGUUUGAACUCUAAUUGGAAAACAGAGGAUUGAGAACUAAUUGUAGGGUUUCUGUGAAUCAGUGUAGCUGAUGAAGAAUGUUGGGUGUUGAUUGAGAAGAAUUGGGUAUUCAAUUUGGGGUUUGGUUACAGAGAAGACAAUAAAAGAAUUGAAGAGUUAGGAUUUCAAGAGAUUGUUCAGUAGAGUUUCAAAAUAAGAAACUAUUGAUGGUGUUGAGAUUUAUUGAACUCAUGAAGAUGAGGAAAAGAAAUUAGUGGAGAACUGGAUGGUGCUUGAGUAAAUCGGUUUGAGGUAAUUGUUCUUUCUAUGAAUUUUGUUUAGUUAUGCAGUUUUGUUGUUGAAUUUACGGAUUUAUCUAUAGAUAAUGAAAUGAAAUGGAUUUGGUGAGUAAGAAAUGGAAUUACGAAUGUUUAGGGUGUAUCUUGAAUUACACAGAAUAAGAUGUUGCAGGGAUUAAAUUGUGUUUUAGAAUUGUUAUUGAGAUGAGUGGCAGGGAAGAAGAUUUAGUGUUUGAAGUGAAGAACUUGUAUGUAAUGCUGGUUUCAUUAUACUUAACUGUUAAUGUUGAGAUUCACAACUAUUGGAGUUCCAGUUGUUAGAGUUUGAACUGAGGUUGAUGUGGGUAUGGUGAAAGAAUCUGAUGGUGUUGAUAUUACAGGGGAGGAGAUGUGUUUUAGUGGUGAUUGUGUUGAACUGAACUCAGGUUGUAUGAGAUGUUAUAUGACUGAAGUUUUAGAAAGAGAGUUAGACGAAUGUGUUGAGAUGAUCUAGUAUUGCUUAAGAGGUGCGAUUGCAGUUAGUUUGUAUUAAUAACGACCGAUUGAAAGGAUGAGCCAGUGGAUCAUGGAUCUCGAGGUAGGCGUGGCUUGUCAUCAAAAGAGUUUCAGAGACAGAUCAGAGUUGCGCAGCGAAAGCUACGAGGAG